CAAAGGGUGCCUGAUAAAAGGAAUAUUUUGAUAGAAUAUAUAAUGUAAAUAAUUUUGCCCCUUUGA
RNAcentral lists this transfer RNA (66 nucleotides) under Frankliniella intonsa. Its description in RNAcentral is "tRNA-Ile". Lineage: Eukaryota; Metazoa; Arthropoda; Insecta; Thysanoptera; Thripidae. The record is from RNAcentral.